GACGAACGCUGGCGGCGUGCUUAACACAUGCAAGUCGAACGGUGAAGCCCUUCGGGGUGGAUCAGUGGCGAACGGGUGAGUAACACGUGGGUAACCUGCCCCUCACUCUGGGAUAACUCCGGGAAACCGGGGCUAAUACCGGAUACGACCUCCUUGGGCAUCCUUGGAGGUGGAAAGUUUUUCGGUGAGGGAUGGACCCGCGGCCUAUCAGCUUGUUGGUGGGGUAAUGGCCUACCAAGGCUUUGACGGGUAGCCGGCCUGAGAGGGCGACCGGCCA
Molecule: ribosomal RNA, 277 nt
Filed under: uncultured bacterium
Lineage: Bacteria
Description: partial 16S ribosomal RNA
Rfam family: Bacterial small subunit ribosomal RNA
Source: RNAcentral